GGAAAAGCUCCGAAAAGCUCGGCACAGCAAGCCCAACUGGGUGAGAUCCUGCAUGGCACGGGGAGGUAAACCCAACUGUGGGCUCACAGAAUGAAUGACAAGGGUGAACAUCAGCUUAAAGCCAGCUUUAUUUUUUGGUGGAAGAAGGACACGAUUUACUCAGAGGCAGAUCCAGGAUAAGCCAACCCUCUGCUAGAAAUCCAAAAUGUGUUUUAGAAGAAAUAUUCAACAGUUUUGCAGUGAAAUUGUUCACUUUUCUUGUAUAGCUGUGAUAGGAACUAGGGGGAUUAACAGACAGCAAAUCUCUGGAGAAAACAAAGAUUUUUUUUUAGGCUUGAAUUUUUUUUAGACUAAUUAUUGAUAUCCUUUCAAAAUAAUUAUGAAUUUUACACAGGACCAGAUCUCCACUGCACGGUUUCUGGUCACAAGAGAUGAGUGUAGCCAAGGGGAAGUGACUCAUGGCUGCCUGUGGUUGAAAUUAAUGAGAUUUUUAUCUGGAAAUAUUCCUGUUAGUGCCUUUUCUUUGUAGUCCGAGUCAGGACAAUAGCAUGGAAAUCAUCUUUGAGGAAAACGGUGACCUCACUGCGAUCGCUGCAGUAACUGGAGGCUCAGCGGCGAUAAGCACCGGAACAGCUGAGUUAUGGAUUUUGAGGCCAGAAAACCCCAUUCUGAACAGCCAGGCUGGCACGCUGCAGAAAGCAGCUUGGUUUUGCUCUCUGAUUCCUGCAACAACCCCACAAGUGGUAUUUAGCAGGGAGGGAGAAAGGAGAACACGAGGAGAAAGGAAAUCAGCCGGGGGAAGUUGGGAUGGGACAUUGUGCACAUGGACUUAUUUACUGCAGAUGGGAAAGCGCUAACUGCAGGCCUGCCUGGCAAAGCAAACUGCUCCAAAACCAAAAGCCCUUCCUUGUCGUGCAUCACCUUCUCUGCAAGGACGAGGUCUUGCAGGACAGCCUGUUUUAAACAGAAGUGGAGGAGAAAUCCUUCCCCUGCCUGUGCUGGGGGCUGCCACCUUCCCGGAGAGAAACAGCAGAGAACGUGCAGGCAGAAACCACAUCUUUCUGGGCUGCUUCAGCUCCCAGCCAGCUUAUUGAUCUGGAGGAAACGUCGGUGUUUCGGGAGCUUCCCAAAAAGGCACGGGGAGGCUGCGCGGCGCCCGUGCGUCACCGGGGCUGUUUUUAUCCAUGGAUUUUCCGGCGUGUUGAGCAGCGCCGGGUCGCCCAGGAGGGACCCUGGCAGAAUCUCCCCGCUGCGUGACUCAUCCUCGCGCGUCGGGGGAGCGCGGGCUGGCUCCGGCACGCUGCACUUUUCAACUCUGAUUCAUGCCACCCCAGGAGAGUAAAUAAGGCAACGCCGCACACGGCUCAGCUGCAAAGGUGUCAGGGCAAAUGACACCACCAGCGAAUAGUGUCACCUAUAAUGUUCCCAGCAAUUUCCUAAAUAGGGCAAAAUGCCUCGCUGCACCUCUGCCAGGAAUCCCGUCACAGCUUAGGAUACCUGCAGUCCUGCAUGUGCCAGGAGGGCUUUGCUGAACCGAAGGUGCUGGCCUGAUCUCACUGAGCUUAGGAGCCCGUUUGCUAAAGCCUGAGGAUGUUUAUUAGCAGUCUGGAUUUGUCACUUCUCAGGCUCUAUCUGCAGAUCGCUUUGGAAGGGUGAUUCAAAAAGUGAAGAGCCUCGUUUCUCUGGAUGUCUCCCAAAAGCAGGGUAACCCAGGUCACUGCUGCAGAAGGCGUUACUUGAUAUUGAUGUCUCUAGCACUGUAAAGACAAAAAUCGGGAGCAGAUUUUUUUAACAGGAUCUAAACUAAUUACAUCUCUAAAAUCGGUUGUUUGGGGAAAAACUCUUCAGCUGUCAUCACUGGUACCUGAACGCUGGUGAGUCAUCAAAUUACAUCCUUGGGUCUGGAAAUGGAUAGCUGGAUAACUAGAUGCCUAGUUGCCUGCUCAGCCAGUGAAGCAAUUCAGCUAAAAAACCUCACGUAUGGGUCAGAUGAUAUCUUUGCUCCAAUUUUACCCCAGUCCUGGCUCGCACCUUUGACCAAGGAAGCCUGAAGGAAGCCAAGGAAGUCUCCUUGUGCUUCCAGACAGCUUCUGCCCUGGGUUAGCUCCUGUAGUGCCCAUGCGCACAAGGCCCUGCAAACCCGGUGGUACAGCAGGAACAGCACUGCAGAAAACAUGGAAAGGGGGAAGCCCUAAACGUCUCCUGGUAGCAGGGUGUGAAUUUGUGCCCUUUGCUUAGGCUGAUCUGUCGUUAAGGAGACCAUGUAGAUAUCUGUCUAUUCCUGGAGCAAAUCAGCAUUACAGGUGACUUCUGAUUGCUGGUUGCUAAUGAGAGAGCAAAUUGUAUUCAGGUUAGCCAAACAGAGGGGCAAAAGUUAGUGAAUAAGGACUAAAUGAGCUGGGUGCCUAAUUGUCAGUGAAUGUCAGUUCCUCUGGUCCUUUGCUCCCUUGGGCUUCAAUCCCAGCCUUGUUCUCCAACCUGCAAGAGAGAAAUAUCCAGGGCAGCAUAAUUAGCGCAUGCUCUUCCACAUCUUAUAUGCUGUAAUGUUGUCUUUCUUUCAAAAUAAAACAAGAAAGACCCCCCCCCCCAUGUGAUUACAUGUUCUGUUCUUCCCUUCAAGCUUGUCAACAUGAAGCACAGAGAUUGCCUAAUCCAUUUUUGUUAUUUAAUUACGUGACUGCGGCGCGCUGCUCUGGCUUCUGUCCAUGCCCCGUCACAAUUGGCACUGCAUUCCUUCCCGGAGCCCAGGGACUCCAAAAACCUGUGGGGAAGCAAAGUGCCUCCCCACAUCCCUGUCAGGUGCCGCCAGGGAUUUGUGAUUGCUGGAGUUAAGGAAGCGACUUGAACCCCAGAGCUGGCGGUGUGGGGAGCAGAGGGACUCAGCAGAGCCCUUGGAGAGGAAGCAGGUAGAGGUAGAGGCUUUCAGCGUCCAUACCAGCCCCUGUGUGUCUGCCGGCCAGAGCCCGUGCCCUCUGUCAUUGACGGUUUCCUUGUGUGUGGCCAUCAGCAGUGCAACUGUGAGAUGCCGGCAAGUAAAUGAGAACAAGGAGAACUCGGUCCCCACUGGGUUAAACCAUGAGGCACAGAGUGCUUUUCCUCCUCUCCUUUCCAAGGAAACAGGCUGCCAUCAGGAUGGUGAACGCACGUAAAAACAAGGGCACAGGCAAAAAUACACAGAAGGAAGAGCUGAAGGCAAUCAAGAGGAUGGCAGCUGGGACCAUCGGGGUGAUGAGAGCUGGGCCUGGCAAAAAGUGAGACGUCCGAGUUGACCGGGACCGAGACAGCACAAGCCAAGAAGGGUGCACGCCUUGGAGAUGCUCCUGAAUGAUAUGGUUUUCCACAGGUACAGGUGCUGUUAUGUAUUGGGUUUUAUAACAAGCUUUUCACAUGCAGUGACUACACUGCCGAAGAUGAGCUCGAUGCAUAUCCCACAGGCCUGCUGGGGGGGUGGGAUGCUUCUGUGGUGUCCCCGGUGCCCACAAGGCUGCCCAGGCCACACAAAGCUGCGCAGCUCGUUGCAGCCUGCCUAGCAUGUCCUAAUUGUGUUUCUCAGAAGCCCUCACUGUUUUCAGCUGAUUUGCUUUGACAUCAGCAGCCGGCAAGAAGUUCUCUGUGUCGGGGUGUGUGGGAGUGCUAUGUGACACCUUAAUCAUGCUAAACAGGAACACACAUUCAGAUUUCCUCGGUGUUUCAAAGAAAUGUGAUUUCCUUUGUGCUGCAAAGAACGAGUUGACUUGAUUGCGACUCACUGUGGAGAUGGGCUGUGUUGCGUGUGAAUUAGGGUGCAAGGAUCUAAUUCUGGGAGAAAAAGGGAGAUAAAAGAUCCUUGACUUUCUAGCUGCAACCAUUGGGGUCAAUUUUCUUGCUGCUAUCUGGGGGUCGUUUUGAUGAUGGCUGUUUAACUGGGUUGGCCAAUGUAUUGAGAAAUGAGAUAUUGUGCAAAAAAACAACACAAAACCAAACCUGUAUGGAGUCAAAGUAUAAGCAAAUAUCAUACCAUAUCCCAGCUUCUGAAACAGUUGUUAGUCAUUUAGUGCAGGCAUUAGAAACUCAUUAAAAGUCCAAAAGAGUGGUUAACUCGUUAACUUAUUUCUCUUCCACGUACGGGUGAUGACCAUUCAAAACUCAAGCAGCGGUGGCUCAGUACAGAUUUAGCUGAGCAUUGCCUGGCCCAGAUGAGAUGAAAUAAAGGCAGAGAAGAUUCGCGAGAGCCCUGCCAGCGCAGAGCGGUGUGUGACGUAUGGUGGGGCUGUAUAGCUCGUGUGAUUUGUGACACGCAGCCAGGCUGUUGGAAAAGCUGAAUUUGCCGGUGUGCUCAUCCUGCUGACAGUCUCAUUCGCUCAGCCUUGCUCACACAGAGGCACAUGACUGCUUGGAUCGUCAGCAUGAAAAUGCCUUUCAUUUUUUUGUGAUUUGUGAGAUAAAGUUAAAAACUCUGCAUUUGGUAAAGUACUGUGCAUAAUAAUAACAAAAGCUGUUUGACCUGAUCAAAUAAUUUGAAUGAUUACGCUUGAUUCAGACAAUGGCUGUGUUCCUGCUAGCUGUGCCCAAAACAUCCUUCUGAAAUGUGGUAUUGUCCAGCAAUCACUGCCAUGGGUCAGUACCGUGUUCCACAGGGUUCAUUGGCCAUGUGAUAGUCAUUGCUGCAGUCCCUGCCCAGCCGUUUUAGUUUUCAGCAUGGAAUUAACAACUGCCUAGCCCUAUUCACGCAGUGUGCAAGAAGUAGGUCAGUGGAGCCAGCAGGAAGGAGUUCAGCCCUCUCUACCAGUCCCUUACCGGAGCGGCUGCUUCAAAAUAGCACCAGCCACGUUCCCCUUCCCGGCGUGACGUGACGGUGCCUUUUCCUUUCUAAGGAGACUGCUCUGGGACAGGGAAUGUCCCCUUCCAAAUGGGCUUUCUGUCACCUGCUGCUACUGCUGCCUUAUUUAAGCUCUCCAAGUUGCGUGCCUGGCUGCUGGCCUGUGUGGCAGGAGGUAGACCUGUGAUGGCACAUUUCUGUGCAGUUGCUAAACGCAAAGUGCUCGCGCUCCAUCAGAUAAAAUGCAUCUCCUUGCAUCUUGGUAUGGAUCAAAGAGCAGUGCUGGUGUCAGGUCAGGGUCCAUCGCUGCCCUGCCAGGCAGAGCAAGGCAUACAUUUGUCAGAGCUUGGGGACUGAUGUCGUUUCAGAGCGGUGGUUAAGCAUUCACAUGAAAUUACCUGCGUAAAAAAAAAUACAGUGCAGGGAGUGUUAGCUAAGCUCCGCUUAGAUCACUGCAGAUGUGUUAUUUUGGGAGAGUAUUCAUACUGUGCACUCCUUAUUCAGACAAACCGGCAAUUGACGUAAUUUUUUCCAUAAUGUUGCUUUUAUUUGAAAUCAUAUCUAUACAUCUUGUACAAAUCAAACUAAUAAUAAGCAUUUCCAUGACAGAUUCUACUUAUGGAUUAAUUUUGGAAUUUAGUUUAUAGACAUGAUUUGACUUCAGUGGGAUUUGCGUCCAUAAAAGGACUGCCACAACAGGGGACAAAUGCGAGAAAGUGGAUUUUUGUCUAUAAUUCACCAUAUUUGUUUGUGGAACCCUUAACAAUGUUCUAAUCUUCCAUCUGAAAACUGCCUUGUCACCUUUUGAUUUACAGCUUUUUCCUUUGCCUUUACUCUGCACUACUUCGUUGGUAUUUCUUACAAGGCAGGUAUUGUCAAAUCUCUUUCUUCAAACAUAUAAUAACCACCUUUUGUAGUGAACAGGCGUAUAAGUUACUCAGCUUAUAUGACAGAACAGAAAAUAAAGAGUUGAGAAUCUGGCAGAGAUGCCAAAGAGUGAUGUUAUUAUAACCUUACUGUGAAAGAUUUGCCAACAGAAAGUUACAUAUCGGUGAGGUAACCAACGGCAAUAUUUGCAGGAGAAGGCUUUAUUACACCAAAUAUUAAAAAACAUCAUUGUAUGGUGUAUUUACAGACAAAUCACACCUCUCUUAUCAAGAUGUUCAACAGCCAUCCCUAUGCAUAACAGACAGGAUUUAUAGCUUAAAUAGACCACAGGCAUGGAAGGACAUCAUAGGGUUUAUGCUUGUCAGUACUCCAGCCUGAUUGUUGAGACCUUCUUGGGAAUUUUCCCAUGUUGCUUGUUUUUAAGUGGAAAAUGUUGUUCCUGCGACAUUGAAAUCUUGCAGUUUCUCGGUUUUCCUUUAAGAAAAUUACACCAGGAUUAGAGUAGCUGUUUCAAGGCGGAGUGGUCCAAACGAAACCAAAUCACAGUACUUGUCUUUGACCAGUUUAAAACAUCAGCCCAUGCUUGCCUGUGCUGCCAUCAGAUGUAUGGGCUUUAUGUUCGGGCGCUUUGUCCCACCAGUUUCUGCAGCACGCUUCGCCUCCCAAGCCACUUGCGGUCAUCUUCUGGCUGGAGCAACGCAACCCACGAUGUCCCCAGCAGACACAGGGGACCUUUGGCAAUGUAGCUUGGGCAUGGAGGUAAAAGGAGGCCUUGUAGGAAGAGCUGAAGGCUUCAUUUUUAGGGGAAAAAAAGAUUACAGAGUCAAGAGGCAGCUCAGAGAAGAGUACAUGUAGCUGCCUCUUCACGUUGGGGUUAUCCACUCAGUCGAGUGCGGUCAAACAGAGCCCUCUGAAGCCUCGGGAGGAAGUGCUUUUCCCAAGGACAAGGCGGCGAGCACGGCACAGGCCCUGACACAGCAAAGCAGGGCGUUAUCUCCGCAGCUCCGCGCUGGGUGCCUGAGUGCACCCCGAGCAGCCCCGUUACCUAGCGAUGUGCGGGAGCGGGUGGCCCUUCCCGAACACCCCCUCCAGCACGCGGUCGAUAAUGAGCGACGUUAUCAUCAGCGCUUUCUGCUUGGUUUGCUGGCGCUUGUCAGCAGGCAGCUGACCUUGGAUGGAGGCUUAGCAUCAGCCUGGCUGAAGUUGGGGGGGGGGGGGGGCGCGAGGGGAGCUAAAAGCUCUGGGUGCUCACCAGGAGCGGCUAGCACCUGGUGCGCUGCUCCACCUCCUGGCAGCUGCUCAGCUCUGCAAGGGAAGAGUUAUGGCAGGGGUUUGG
Molecule: long non-coding RNA, 7022 nt
Organism: Cygnus olor (mute swan)
Lineage: Eukaryota; Metazoa; Chordata; Aves; Anseriformes; Anatidae
Exons: 4
Source: RefSeq, a predicted model, not a curated record